AUUUUUUUUGUACAUAGUCAGUUUUAUGCUCACUUCCCCAACGCAAAAAUAAAUGUAUAUCAAAAGAUCGAAGAUUGCGACAUCACAACAGUAAUGGUCUUUAUUCGCGUUCAAUGUCCAUGUAAGUGAUUUCAAAUGAAAUAGCAGAAGCUCAAGGUGUUGGUACAAGUGUUGGAAUCGGAGCUGGAGUUAUUAUUUUUAUUUUAUUAAUUCUUGGAUUAGUUUACCUAAGACUACGUAAAGCAACACCAGUAAAAAAUACUGAAAAUGUUCAAGCAGCAGAAAGGAAAGAGGAUCAAAAUGCUGCUGUUAUGUCUUAUUCUAGUUUGAAUGAUAACACGAAUGGUCGAAUGUAUGAAAAUGUCCCAGAAGACGGCCUUUAUGAUAGUCCGUACAGCGGGACCGGAAGCACGUAUGGAUAUAGUGGACAAAAUGGGAGGUGAACUUACAAUAGAUCUGGCCAUUACGAAGUAGAACCACCUCCUAGAAACGGUAUCACUAUUAACGGUGUUACCGUUCGAUAAUUAAAUUUGUAAAAAAUAAAAUUUAUUUAAAUGAAAUAAUUAUUUUUAUGGAACAAAAAAAAAUAAAUAAAAAUUUUAAUUAUUUAUGAACCAUUACACCGAAAGAUUUAAAUAAAAAUAAGUGUAAAUAAUUUUAAUUUAAAAAAAAACUAAAGGACGUAAUUUAUUAGUUUUGAACAAACAAUAUUUUGAUGUUUUUCAUAAUUAUUUUUCGAUCUUUACGGUCGAAAUUUGUAUUAUUAUUGUAUAUAUAUAUAGUGUCUUCGUUAUUAUUUAGAUUUAUUAUUCAUAAAUUUGAUAUUAAUUACUGAUAAGAAAUAAAGUAAUAUUACAAAAUGAUGACUUGGCUUUUGUAUUUACAAACUUUGUAAAAUUAUAUUAUUCUUUUUCACUAUCCAUGAAAUGGAGAUAUAG
Long non-coding RNA from Microplitis mediator, 938 nucleotides. RefSeq lists it as uncharacterized. The transcript has 4 exons. NCBI's taxonomy places the organism in Eukaryota, Metazoa, Arthropoda, Insecta, Hymenoptera, Braconidae. The record is from RefSeq and is a predicted model, not a curated record.